Molecule: long non-coding RNA, 419 nt
Filed under: Erythranthe guttata (spotted monkey flower)
Lineage: Eukaryota; Viridiplantae; Streptophyta; Magnoliopsida; Lamiales; Phrymaceae
Description: long non-coding RNA (EGUT_LNC000810)
Source: RNAcentral
CCGGGACCCGGCACUUGACCGGUCCGGUUGAUGCUCCAAACCCGGGAAAAUCAAGACCCGGGGUUAAUUGCUCAAAAACCCGGUUCAACCGCCCAAAACCGGAAAACCGGAAACCGGUCAAAGAACCCGGUUUUCUGUGAAUAUAGCUGAAUAGGUUGGUCGGCGGAGGACGGAGCUCGCCGUCAGUGACUAGAUCUGGGUAAAAAAUAGCCGGAAUUCAUCGUAGGUGAACGGAUCUUGCCGUCGGUAGCCGGAUCUGUUGGUCCAAGAUAGAUGCAAGAUGGGAUGGGUAAUAUAUGAAGGGUUAAGGAAGAUAGGUGCUGUUUGAAUUAAGAUGGAGAUUAAAAAAAAAUUGAAGAGGAUUGUGACCGGUGUUGACUGGUGCAACAUAUGGGAAGAAGGAGAAGGAAAAUGGAGGU